ACCAGACUCCUACGGGAGGCAGCAGUGGGGGAUAUUGCACAAUGGGGGGAACCCUGAUGCAGCGACGCCGCGUGGGUGAAGAAGCGCCUCGGCGCGUAAAGCCCUGUCAGCAGGGAAGAAAAUGACGGUACCUGAAGAAGAAGCCCCGGCUAACUACGUGCCAGCAGCCGCGGUAAUACGUAGGGGGCAAGCGUUAUCCGGAUUUACUGGGUGUAAAGGGGGCGCAGACGGCGAUGCAAGCCAGGAGUGAAAGCCCGGGGCCCAACCCCGGGACUGCUCUUGGAACUGCGUGGCUGGAGUGCAGGAGGGGCAGGCGGAAUUCCUGGUGUAGCGGUGAAAUGCGUAGAUAUCAGGAGGAACACCGGUGGCGAAGGCGGCCUGCUGGACUGCAACUGACGUUGAGGCCCGAAAGCGUGGGGAGCAAACAGGAUUAGAUACCCCUGUAUC
This 447-nucleotide ribosomal RNA is filed under the name uncultured bacterium. Its description in RNAcentral is "bacterial SSU rRNA". It matches the Rfam family "Bacterial small subunit ribosomal RNA", at positions 330 to 794 of the family's 1533-position model. The record is from RNAcentral.